CAGGAAGUACCUCCCUCUCUCGGGGAAGCUAGGAGCACUGCAGGAGAACUAUGAACCUUCCCCCUGAUACGAAAAACUUGAGAUAUGAAAACUUCAAGAAACAAAGUCAGCUGAAAUUUGUCAGUAUUGCUGUAAGGGUGAGGCAAGUAAGCAAGACAGCUUACCUCUAAAGUAAACAGUGUAGUCCACAUCAGAGUUUGAAUGUCAGUCUUCGGGUGACAUGAUCCGGAACUGAGAAGCUCAGAACCAAGAUGUUCCAAUUUUGUGGAGUACAGAUUUUGAAGUAUGACCUGUUGAUUCCCUGAAUUGCUUCAUUGUCGGGAACCACGAUCACAUCUAACAGUGACUGUGAAGAAUCCAAAAAGGAUCCCCUAAAGAUGGUUUUGCCUCCAGACAGCAGGAAGUAAUUUUAAGAACAUGAUGCCCACAUUCCCAAGAGAGGCCAACUUGCUAAGAACUUUGUCACAUGUUACUCCAGCAUGAUGACUCAUGACUGGCUUCAAUCAGACCCUCAGGAAGUAUGUCCAGUCUGGCAGCCAAUCAGGGUCCUACCUGGCAGCAAGCAGGAAAUGUUCUUGCUAUUUUCAGUCAAAUAGACCCCUGACACAGCAAACAGACCCCUGACACUGCAACCAUAGUUGCUGACUAGAUGUCAUGAGCCAAUAAUAAAAUGAUUCUUGUUUCAGUAAAGGUCUAUGACUAAUCACUUCAAAGCACACUUAACCACAGCUAGAAUUUCCCUAGCCAUGCU
Non-coding RNA from Peromyscus maniculatus bairdii (prairie deer mouse), 751 nucleotides. NCBI's taxonomy places the organism in Eukaryota, Metazoa, Chordata, Mammalia, Rodentia, Cricetidae. The record is from RefSeq and is a predicted model, not a curated record.